AGUUUAGUAGAUGAGGCAGUGAUUUCAAUAGCUAACAGUUCUCAGGUCAUGCUGACAGAGUAGUUUUGAGAAGCAUUGGCUUACCUUGUUUGGCUUAUAGCAUCUGCUUUCUCUUCUUCUUCAGACCUGAAGGUACCUGUUUCUGAGCCUAAUGGUUUGGAAUUUCUUUGUAUUUUUAUCUUCUGGAUCAGUGGAAAGCUAAGCAAGAGGUGUGUACUAAUCCCCUCCUCAGGGAGUCAACGUUAAGUCCACCAUGCUUCUCAGUUUGGCUGAAUUUAUGCUCCGGUUCUGAAGGGCUGAAGUUCUGCAAGGCUGCUUGCUAGAUAAGUGACCACAGCAGGCACAGUUCCAAGGAGCAAGAAUUUUCUAGAAUGACAAAAGACAGUUAUAAAGGAGGAACUGAGAAGUAUUUACUAUGCUUUACACAGGUCUUGGCAUACCAUCAUCUACUAGGAGUCACUAUAAAUGGACUGUUUGAAAAAUCACAGAGGUUUAAAAGACAAACAAG
This is a long non-coding RNA of Cervus elaphus (red deer), 508 nucleotides long. RefSeq lists it as uncharacterized. The transcript has 4 exons. Lineage: Eukaryota; Metazoa; Chordata; Mammalia; Artiodactyla; Cervidae. The record is from RefSeq and is a predicted model, not a curated record.